This 252-nucleotide ribosomal RNA is filed under the name uncultured bacterium. RNAcentral describes it as "partial 16S ribosomal RNA". It matches the Rfam family "Bacterial small subunit ribosomal RNA", at positions 524 to 776 of the family's 1533-position model. The record is from RNAcentral.
AACGUAGGGGACAAGCGUUAUCCGGAUUUACUGGGCGUAAAGCGCCCGUAGGCGCCUGACAAGUUGGACGUGAAAGCUCCUGGCUUAACUGGGAGAGGCCGUUCAAAACUGUCAAGCUAGAGUCUGGAAGAGGAGAGCGGAAUUCCCGGUGUAGUGGUGGAAUGCGUAGAGAUCGGGAGGAACACCAGUGGCGAAAGCGGCUCUCUGGUCCAAAACUGACGCUGAGGGGCGAAAGCGUGGGGAGCGAACAGG